AGACGGAGGGUGCAAGCGUUGUUCGGAAUUACUGGGCGUAAAGCGCGUGUAGGCGGGACGGCAAGUCAGGUGUGAAAGCCCUCGGCUCAACCGAGGAACUGCGCUUGAAACUGCCGUUCUUGAGUUCGGGAGAGGGAAGUGGAAUUCCUAGUGUAGAGGUGAAAUUCGUAGAUAUUAGGAGGAACACCGGUGGCGAAGGCGGCUUCCUGGACCGAUACUGACGCUGCGACGCGAAAGCGUGGGGAGCAAACAGGAUUAGAAACCCCAGUAGUCC
This 274-nucleotide ribosomal RNA is filed under the name uncultured bacterium. RNAcentral describes it as "partial 16S ribosomal RNA". It matches the Rfam family "Bacterial small subunit ribosomal RNA", at positions 523 to 796 of the family's 1533-position model. The record is from RNAcentral.